AAUAGAUACCCAGGUAGUCCACGCCGUAAACGAUGUCGACUUGGAGGUUGUUCCCUUGAGGAGUGGCUUCCGGAGCUAACGCGUUAAGUCGACCGCCUGGGGAGUACGGCCGCAAGGUUAAACUCAAAUGAAUUGACGGGGGCCCGCACAAGCGGUGGAGCAUGUGGUUUAAUUCGAUGCAACGCGAAGAACCUUACCUACUCUUGACAUCCACGGAACUUAGCAGAGAUGCUUUGGUGCCUUCGGGAACCGUGAGACAGGUGCUGCAUGGCUGUCGUCAGCUCGUGUUGUGAAAUGUUGGGUUAAGUCCCGCAACGAGCGCAACCCUUAUCCUUUGUUGCCAGCGGUUAGGCCGGGAACUCAAAGGAGACUGCCAGUGAUAAACUGGAGGAAGGUGGGGAUGACGUCAAGUCAUCAUGGCCCUUACGAGUAGGGCUACACACGUGCUACAAUGGCGCAUACAAAGAGAAGCGACCUCGCGAGAGCAAGCGGACCUCAUAAAGUGCGUCGUAGUCCGGAUUGGAGUCUGC
Molecule: ribosomal RNA, 530 nt
Filed under: uncultured bacterium
Lineage: Bacteria
Description: bacterial SSU rRNA
Rfam family: Bacterial small subunit ribosomal RNA
Source: RNAcentral